UACCGCGUGUGUGAAGAAGGCCUUCGGGUUGUAAAGCACUUUAAGCAGGGAGAAAAAGUUAUAAGUUAAUACCUUAUAACCCUGAUGUUACCUGCAGAAUAAGCACCGGCUAAUUCCGUGCCAGCAGCCGCGGUAAUACGGAAGGUGCAAGCGUUAAUCGGAAUUACUGGGCGUAAAGCGCGCGUAGGUGGUUUGUUAAGUUGGAUGUGAAAGCCCUGGGCUCAACCUAGGAACUGCAUCCAAAACUAACUCACUAGAGUACGAUAGAGGGAGGUAGAAUUCAUAGUGUAGCGGUGGAAUGCGUAGAUAUUAUGAAGAAUACCAGUGGCGAAGGCGGCCUCCUGGAUCUGUACUGACACUGAGGUGCGAAAGCGUGGGUAGCGAACAGGAUUAGAUACCCUGGUAGUCCACGCCGUAAACGAUGACAACUAGCUGUUGGGAGACUAUGUCUUUCAGUGGCGCAGCUAACGCUUUAAGUUGUCCGCCUGGGGAGUACGGCCGCAAGGCUAAAACUCAAAUGAAUUGACGGGGACCCGCACAAGCGGUGGAGCAUGUGGUUUAAUUCGAUGCAACGCGAAAAACCUUACCUACUCUUGACAUACUUGGGAGCUCUUGUAAUGAGAGUGUGCCUUAUGGAACCAAGAUACAGGUGCUGCAUGGCUGUCGUCAGCUCGUGUCGUGAGAUGUUCC
This 690-nucleotide ribosomal RNA is filed under the name uncultured Gammaproteobacteria bacterium. RNAcentral describes it as "bacterial SSU rRNA". It matches the Rfam family "Bacterial small subunit ribosomal RNA", at positions 395 to 1078 of the family's 1533-position model. Lineage: Bacteria; Pseudomonadati; Pseudomonadota; Gammaproteobacteria. The record is from RNAcentral.